RNAcentral lists this ribosomal RNA (690 nucleotides) under Skeletonema sp. GFC-2005.5. Its description in RNAcentral is "eukaryotic LSU rRNA". The stretch from base 243 to 396 matches the Rfam family "5.8S ribosomal RNA". Lineage: Eukaryota; Bacillariophyta; Thalassiosirophyceae; Thalassiosirales; Thalassiosiraceae. The record is from RNAcentral.
GGAAGGAUCAUUAUCACUUAAUCCACACCUUUACUUCCCCGAGAAGAGGGGCUUGAGUCCUGCUGCCGAUACACUGGCACGGGGUUCGAGUCUCACCCUUAUAAAAACCAAACCAGGAGCCAAAGCAGGCCCCAGCCUCGUGCUGGUCGGCUGGCCGAAGUUCCGCCCAUUACCGUACUGAAACUGUAACUGAAUCAAAACUGCUUUUGGAGCUUGUCUCUUCUAGCUGUAUAAUCUAUUACAACUUUUAGCAAUGGAUGUCUUGGGUCACACAACGAUGAAGAACGCAGCGAAAUGCGAUACGUAAUGCGAAUUGCAGAACUUCGUGAAUCAUCAAAAUUUUGAACGCACAUUGCGCUACUGAGUAAUCUCAGUAGCAUGCUUAUCUGAGUGUCUUUAAACCCCACUCAGCCGCUGCUGCACUUGAUUGUGCUAGCCGCGAGCUGGACUGUGAUGGUGUUUGGCCCUGCUGCCGAACUCCGUUCAAGUUCAUUGGUUUGUUGUUGACGCCUCUGCUGGCUGAACGCGAAUCGCAACUAGAUUUGAUAGGUGCACUUAUGUGUAUUUUUGAAUCUGGCGUGCGAGUUGCCAAGGCUUACUAGGGUGUCUUCCGCGAAUUGGACAUCUAGCACCUGCUGGCUUGUCCGGAAUGAAUGUACCUCAUCUAUGGAUCUCAGAUUAAGUAAGACU